ACACCUCACAAAAUGUCCAUUUUUUGUCAAUUCCAGUGUUACAGUCCUUCCACAGAUAGUGUUGUUCAUUUGAAGAUAGAAUAUUACAUAUUUCGUUGUAAUUCUCAUUCACAGAAAAGUUAGUCGGUUUACAGAAAGCAUUUCCGUUGUUUUCAAUGGAAAUGUCACAAGAAUGGUAGUAGGUUGGUCUGGAAUUACAUCAUAGAAUCAAAUCCCCCUCCGUUCUCCCCCAUCCCCUCAUCAGCACUGGAAAGAAACGGAUUUAUUCACUUACAGAGGAACAAAUUUUCUUAUGUUUAUUUGUGGU
This 307-nucleotide long non-coding RNA is filed under the name Octopus vulgaris (common octopus). The record is from RNAcentral. Lineage: Eukaryota; Metazoa; Mollusca; Cephalopoda; Octopoda; Octopodidae.